AUUGAACGCUGGCGGCAGGCCUAACACAUGCAAGUCGAACGAGUGGCGGACGGGUGAGUAAUGUCUGGGAAACUGCCUGAUGGAGGGGGAUAACUACUGGAAACGGUAGCUAAUACCGCAUACCAUCGGAUGUGCCCAAAUGGGAUUAGCUAGUAGGUGGGGUAACGGCUUACCUAGGCGACGAUCCCUAGCUGGUCUGAGAGGAUGACCAGCCACACUGGGACUGAGACACGGUCCAGACCCCUACGGGAGGCAGCAGUGGGGAAUAUUGCACAAUGGGCGCAAGCCUGAUGCAGCCAUGCCGCGUGUAUGAAGAAGGCCGUCGGGUUGUAAAGUACUUUCAGCGGGGAGGCGUUACCCGCAGAAGAAGCACCGGCUAACUCCGUGCCAGCAGCCGCGGUAAUUC
RNAcentral lists this ribosomal RNA (406 nucleotides) under uncultured bacterium. RNAcentral describes it as "partial 16S ribosomal RNA". It matches the Rfam family "Bacterial small subunit ribosomal RNA", at positions 30 to 526 of the family's 1533-position model. The record is from RNAcentral.